GAAAGCGGUGCUAAUACCGAAUAAGACCACGGUAUCACAUGAUACAGUGGGAAAAGGUGGCCUCUGUAUAUGCUAUCACUUGGAGAUAAGCUCGCGGACCAUUAGCUUGUUGGUAGGGUAACGGCCUACCAAGGCCAAGAUGGUUAGCUGGUCUGAGAGGAUGAUCAGCCACACUGGAACUGAGACACGGUCCAGACUCCUACGGGAGGCAGCAGUGGGGAAUAUUGCGCAAUGGGGGAAACCCUGACGCAGUGACGCCGUGUGAGUGAUGAAGGUUUUCGGAUCGUAAAGCUCUGUCAGAUGGGAAGAAUAAAGGCAGGGAAAAUAUUUCUGCCUGAUGACGGUACCAUCAGAGGAAGCACCGGCUAACUCCGUGCCAGCAGCCGCGGUAAUACGGAGGGUGCAAACGUUGUUCGGAAUUACUGGGCGUAAAGCGCAUGUAGGCGGAUAUGGAAGUCAGAUGUGAAAGCCCUUGGCUCAACCAAGGAAGUGCAUCUGAAACCACAUAUCUUGAGUAUGAC
Molecule: ribosomal RNA, 521 nt
Filed under: uncultured bacterium
Lineage: Bacteria
Description: bacterial SSU rRNA
Rfam family: Bacterial small subunit ribosomal RNA
Source: RNAcentral